Corythoichthys intestinalis (scribbled pipefish) is the source of this 1604-nucleotide long non-coding RNA. RefSeq lists it as uncharacterized. Lineage: Eukaryota; Metazoa; Chordata; Actinopteri; Syngnathiformes; Syngnathidae. The record is from RefSeq and is a predicted model, not a curated record. The transcript is spliced from 7 exons.
UGUGGGAUUCGUACACACAUUGUGGGAUUCGUAAACACAUAGCACGCGAAACACACACACAUCGUGGGAUUCGUACACACAUAGCACGCGAACCACACACAUUGUGGGAUUCGUAAACACAUAGCACGCGAAACACACACACAUCGUGGGAUUCGUAAACACAUAGCACGCGAAACACAAACACAUUCACCAAAUGUGUGUGUGAAUUGUUUUACGCGCAUUUGUAACGUGCUUCCAAUUACAAAUUCCCACUUACGAAUACAAAUUCCCACUUACGAAUGUGUGGAUCGUUUUGAUACCCGUCAUGCGCAACUGAGAAGAACACAUGCAUUUUUUUAACUGGAGCCCGUCUUCAGCCAAUCAGACGUCUUCUUCUUAAACAGCCAAUCACAAGGGCUGGGCUGUUUCGUUACGUCACUGCUGUGCGCCUUCAAGUCCGGCUGGAGAUUCCUUUUAGACUACAACGCAGUUCAUGCGGUUGUCGUGCGGUUGGUGUACAACAUGGAGAAGAGGUUCCAGGAGAUUUCAAUUUUAUGUCUAGGGGUGAAUUCCCUAAUUUAUAGUGAAUCUCAGAAAUGUGCUUUAAGAAGAUAUAUGCAGAAGCUCAAACUGAAGGUCCCAAACAGAAGCACGAUCACUGUUUAAUGAAGUACACUCGGCUUCAAUUGGUGCACACACAGGCACUGUUAAAACCAGAUCCUCAAUGUACUCCAGAAAUUAUUGGGAUGGCAUGACGGUGGACAUUGACUGAUGGGUCUCUGAAUGCGACGGAUGUCAGAGGACUGGUAACUCUUUGGCUGUGUGUGACACAGCCAUUACAAAGCAUUAAGGUGUCUGCUGUUUGGGAGUUGGUUGGGAUAGACCUGACUGGGCCUCUCCCAAAAACCAAGGAUGGCUUUCAGUACAUUCUUACUGCCACCGAUUAUUUUUCCAAACACAGAUGCCCCCAAAGAAUCCUGUCCGACCAAGGAAGAGAAUUUGUCAAUUAGCUCAACGAUAACCUUUGUGCCUCCUGUGCAUUGAAAGGAGUGUUACAGCUGCAUAUCAUCCUAAGACGAAUGGGCUGGAUGAGAGGACAAAUAGCAAACAUAAAACGGCAAGUUGUUGUUGGUGUUCUAAAAUGUAUAUCUAAUUGUACCCUUCUACUUCGUACAGCUCUUACAAAAUUGGUGAACGACCGACAGGAUUUGUUUGGUGGUUUGGCCUAUUCAGUAGAUAAUUUUGACCGGAUGGUCAUCUGGUCAAGUGCCGUAAAUAAUAACUUUUUUGAUUUAACAAUGUUGUGUUUUCAGUUAAAUUACUGUGGGCUGCAGAGGAUCAAGGCAAGGUGGAGGCUGUCGUUGGACCGUAUAAAUUAUACGACACAUCUUUUCAUACGCUAAAAGGCAACGGCUGGCUGUCUGAUGAAGUCAGUGGGAGCAAUAAGUGUUUAGCAAAUAACAAAGAUUCUUGCCUUUUGCCAAUUUUUUUAUUUUGCUAUGCAAGUAUUUGAUGCAUACAUGCAUAUCCUCAUUGAAAGGCAGCAGCCAAGUGCUGGAUAUAGUUUUUCUCAAUGCAUUUAUUUUUUGCCGGAGUAUAGUUGUAAUGUUGUUACCCCUUUUUUU